UACAACACUGACGUUCCUUCAUACAGAUCCUGAUAGAAACCUGAACGAAAAUGUUUCUCAUCUAUUCGGUUUUAAUAUUUCUCCUAAGCUACAAUGGAGUAUGUGGGAAUGUCAUCAGACCAAACCAACCGUCUGUAGUUUUAACUGAAGGAAGAAACACCACUCUGUCCUGUACAUAUGAUGGAUCAGCUUACAGUCUCCACUGGUAUCGACAGAAGCCUGGAUCAAGACCAGAGUUUCUGCUGCUGAUUGUUGAGUCUUCUAAAACUGUAGUUCCAGCUUCUCCACCGUACCCACAUAUGUCCAUCAGACUCCGUAAUAAUAAUGAUGUGGAUCUGAUCAUCUCCUCUGCUGCUGUAUCAGAUUCUGCUCUGUAUUACUGUGCCCUGGAGCCCACAGUGACAGGAAAACCUACUACAUUGUACAAAAACUGUUUCCUUUUCCUUGCUAUACAGUCCGAUUUCUAA
Carassius auratus (goldfish) is the source of this 467-nucleotide non-coding RNA. Lineage: Eukaryota; Metazoa; Chordata; Actinopteri; Cypriniformes; Cyprinidae. The record is from the annotation of a RefSeq genome assembly.